CAGUCGCCGCGGUAAUACGAAGGUCCCGAGCGUUGUCCGGAAUCACUGGGCGUAAAGGGAGCGUAGGCGGCGUGGUAAGUCAGAUGUGAAAUCCCGGGGCUCAACCCCGGAACUGCAUCCGAUACUGCCGUGCUAGAGGAUUGGAGAGGUAGCUGGAAUUCUUGGUGUAGCAGUGAAAUGCGUGGAGAUCAAGAGGAACACUCGUGGCGAAAGCGAGCUACUGGACAAUAUCUGACGCUGAGGCUCGAAGGCCAGGGUAGCGAAAGUGAUUAGAUACCCCUGUAGUCCCUGUCUCUUAUAC
Molecule: ribosomal RNA, 301 nt
Filed under: uncultured bacterium
Lineage: Bacteria
Description: partial 16S ribosomal RNA
Rfam family: Bacterial small subunit ribosomal RNA
Source: RNAcentral